RNAcentral lists this ribosomal RNA (466 nucleotides) under uncultured bacterium. RNAcentral's name for it is "partial 16S ribosomal RNA". It matches the Rfam family "Bacterial small subunit ribosomal RNA", at positions 28 to 507 of the family's 1533-position model. The record is from RNAcentral.
GACGAACGCUGGCGGCGCGCCUAACACAUGCAAGUCGAACGAGCGAGAGAGAGCUUGCUUUCUCGAGCGAGUGGCGAACGGGUGAGUAACGCGUGAGGAACCUGCCUCAAAGAGGGGGGCAACAGUUGGAAACGACUGCUAAUACCGCAUAAGCCCACGACCCGGCAUCGGGUAGAGGGAAAAGGAGCAAUCCGCUUUGAGAUGGCCUCGCGUCCGAUUAGCUAGUUGGUGAGGUAACGGCCCACCAAGGCGACGAUCGGUAGCCGGACUGAGAGGUUGAACGGCCACAUUGGGACUGAGACACGGCCCAGACUCCUACGGGAGGCAGCAGUGGGGAAUAUUGCACAAUGGGGGAAACCCUGAUGCAGCGACGCCGCGUGGAGGAAGAAGGUCUUCGGAUUGUAAACUCCUGUUGUUGAGGAAGAUAAUGACGGUACUCAACAAGGAAGUGACGGCUAACUACGUG